This is an RNA transcript of Haliotis rubra (blacklip abalone), 1699 nucleotides long. RefSeq lists it as uncharacterized. NCBI's taxonomy places the organism in Eukaryota, Metazoa, Mollusca, Gastropoda, Lepetellida, Haliotidae. The record is from RefSeq and is a predicted model, not a curated record. The transcript has 2 exons.
UUGGUGGAUGUGGUAUGUCACCACGCGUGUCUCCCGUAUGUCCUGUCUCAUUGUGACAGCCAAUCAGAUCAAAUGCAGUGUUUAUAUAUGUUCCUGGUUAUUGCGGUAUCUCUAAGUGUUGGCAGUGCACUAUUGAUCAACCCAGUCCUUGUUGACACACCGCCAGCAGCCCGCUCGAACACACUGACGACCCUGUGUGUUGGCAGUUCGGUUUCCAGAAAGAUAGUGCUGAAAACUAAACGCUUUCCCGGAACAGAAACUGGUGCAUAAUUCUCCGAACGCAUUCCUGGUACAAGUAUUGGUGUAUAUAUUCUCCGAACGUGCCUGAAAUUGUUCAUAUCCCCCGACCAAGGACCUGGCGCGUGUGGACGUAUUAGCAACUGUCCACGACUAUCAGCAGGUGUUCACGACUAUCAGCAGGUGUUCACGACUAUCAGCAGGUGUUCACGACUAUCAGCAAUUGUCCACGACUAUCAGCAGGUGUUCGCGACUAUCAGCAGGUGUUCACGACUAUCAGCAGGUGUUCACGACUAUCAGCAGGUGUUCACGACUACGACGGUAAUAUAUCAAGAUGGCCUCCAGGACUAUGCAACCUAACUACUUUGUUGCCAUUCGUGUCACAGACGACGGAAUUAAACAAACGUUUGACAGAGUUCGGGAAAGAAUAAUUAAGGAAAAUGCCAACUAUUUGACAGUGUGUUCAUCCAGGGAUGAUCUCCACGUGAGUCUGUGCCAUCUCUCAAUUCAGACACAGACUCAGCUCCAUACAGCGGUGGAAGCUCUCAACAGCGCCGCGGAGAACAUCCGAUCCAUGCAAAACAAGACAACGUUAAAAGUGAAAGGAAUCGGCACGUUUAACGACGUUGUCGUAUACGGUAACGUUGAGUACGAACGUGAGCUAUCAGUUCUCCGGUCUGUGAUCGUUUCGUUUCUGGACGCUCAGGGGAUUUGUUGGUUACACAGGGGAUUUCACUCCUCACAUGACAAUUGCAAAAGUGACGAAAUCUUUCACCCACAAGACCGGUAUAACGUAUUUCCCCAGCAAGGUGUACAACACCGACAACGACGUCGUUUUUGGUGAGGAGGAUGUUGAUGCAGUCAGACUGUGUCGGAUGGGGUCCGAAAGGGACCACGAUGGCUUCUACGUCACUGACGCCACCGUUGUCGUGUAGACCACUGAGUGAGAAAGUUAUUUUCUCUUUGUAGUGAAUUGAAUUUGAUACUUUAACUGAUCAUGAUGGACUGUGCUAGCAAUUUAAGGCUUUAUUACCUGCUGAACCUGCUGAAUAGGGUUUAUGUGUUUUAAUCUUUGCCUAUACUUUACUGUUAGUUUAUACACUGUGAUAAGAAUGUUUCCCCGCAGUAACUUCUCUCAUCCCUCUACCUCGGAACCCACUCGGGACAUAUUCCGCUACACUCGUAUUGUUUGCGGAAGCGGCGAAGCAGUAAUGUUGCACAAAUGGACUGUACUCCCUGGGACUGAGUGAGUGAGUAGGUUUACGCCGCUUCUAGCAAUUAUCCGACAUCACGACGGUGCUCCUCAAACAUAAGCUACACACAAUAUUACCAUGGAAGGAAUCGAACCUCUGUGACAAAAGAACACUUUAUACCCACAAGGCUGCCUGAGACUCAUUACGAUAUUACAUUACUUGUAAAACUUUGACAGAACGUCCUUUGUGGAAAAUAUAUGAACAUUAAA